CGAAGGCGUUGGAAUUCAGACCUAACAUCGCUUAUAUGGGCAACCAGUGUAGGCUUGCAUCCAAAACCCUAAUCAGACGAGUUCUUGAAAAGAAAACGCUCCGGCGGAAAACCCUAGGCACCCUUUAUCUAAUUCAGCAAUUGCAGAGCCCCACGAAAAGUAACGGAGUCAAAAUUCAACCGCCUCCAAUAAGAAACGCAGAGAAUACCAGAGAACGAAUAAUAUCUGGCGAUCGAGG
RNAcentral lists this unclassified non-coding RNA (238 nucleotides) under Hevea brasiliensis (rubber tree). The record is from RNAcentral. Lineage: Eukaryota; Viridiplantae; Streptophyta; Magnoliopsida; Malpighiales; Euphorbiaceae.